UCUCUGAUAGCUCAGCUGGUAGAGAAUCCGUCUGCAGUGCAGAAGACCCUGGUUCAAUUCCUGGGUCGGGAA
RNAcentral lists this transfer RNA (72 nucleotides) under Bos taurus (domestic cattle). It matches the Rfam family "tRNA". From Rfam's summary of the family: Transfer RNA (tRNA) molecules are approximately 80 nucleotides in length. Their secondary structure includes four short double-helical elements and three loops (D, anti-codon, and T loops). Lineage: Eukaryota; Metazoa; Chordata; Mammalia; Artiodactyla; Bovidae. The record is from Rfam by way of RNAcentral. RNAcentral also lists the same sequence under 1 other name.